Molecule: long non-coding RNA, 1319 nt
Filed under: Anas platyrhynchos platyrhynchos (common mallard)
Lineage: Eukaryota; Metazoa; Chordata; Aves; Anseriformes; Anatidae
Description: lncRNA (ENSAPLG00000022977.1)
Source: RNAcentral
AUGCACCUUCACAGGGUUUCUUCCACCUGUAGGCUGGAGGCAGCAUGGAUGUGCCUGGUAGUGCGGCCUUGUCUGGCGCGGCAGAGCCACAAUGGCACACUGCGAGUCCAUGCAAGCAGUGUGGACUUAGGGCCAUAUCAGUGCUGCACACAUAUCUGCACUGCUUCGGUCUGUUACUGCAUCAUCUUUGUGUCAUUAUUGUUUGUUGAUUGCUCGCUGGGUCUUGGGUGCAGGCCUUGCUCACACAGUAAGCCUGGACCAAAGUUAGUCUUCAUAUUCCAGAAGGCUUCGGUCAAGAUUGCAGUCUUCUUGUGCUGCACUUUUCACACCUACUGUAUGAAGGAACUCCUGGUUCAAAGAGUUUUCAGAAAAUACUUUGACUUUUAUUUUACUGUUGGACCACAGAAGUAUUAAAUGACUUGCCCAAGGUCAAAGAGAGUCUGCAGCAGGCUUUGGAAAUGAAUCAGGGUUGACUUAGUCCAAGUCAAAUGCUUUGGUUUGCAUGAAAUAGUCCCAGAGCAGGAAAUAUUAGCAGUUAGUGUAAACAUUAUAUAUGUCUGCUACAGAAACCUCACCUUUACAAACAAGAUUUUAUCUGAACACUUGAACUUGGAGGAAGUGGUGUGAAAUCCUUUGUAAUUUGCCCUCUUCCAGUAGUAAAAGGAGCGUCAGUCACAUCCAAAAGGCAGCUCAACUGCUAUUGAGGUGGGUGAGGUUGAGACGGACAGACCUGUGCCCCAGUGCACCUCACCAGGAGGUCAGGCACAGGGCAGUGCAGGAGCUAUGUUCAGCUGAGCUGACGAGAAGGCAUCUCUCGAAAAGAGAUGCCACAGAGCUGGUGUGCAGCUCUCGCAGGGUUAUAAUCCUUUCUCCUUCUGGUGGCUUUGCAUUGGAAUUAUUUUCUGUGUGUGUCCAGCGUGGGUGCUUUGUAGCAGGCAGCUUUCUGUCCGUGCUGCCCAAGUGUUUGUCCUGAGCGUGCAGCUCAGCAAGUGCAAUGGGAUGUCUGGCAGAAGUGUGGGGCUUAUUUGUUUUGGAACAGAGAAAUGUGGCAAUUUCAUACCCUGCAGUUCCUUCCUGACAACUCGUCCUCGCACAUCACAUUGCAGUGAGUGACAGCAACCAGAGGCUAUUCAUAAGGGUGGCAUCUCAGCAUGUAAUAAUCAUAAUUACAUGAAAUAAUAACUAUCUAAAGGGCAGCACAGUGAGUGACAAGCCAGAGAAUAUACCUUGACACCUGCCAAAGUUGUACUAAACACACAGAGAAAUUUUCCCCAGGAUCCUGUCACUUUGUCAACUAACAGAACCAGCCAGAGUUAAUA